Molecule: ribosomal RNA, 692 nt
Filed under: Bacillus sp. Y1023_2
Lineage: Bacteria; Bacillati; Bacillota; Bacilli; Caryophanales; Bacillaceae
Description: bacterial SSU rRNA
Rfam family: Bacterial small subunit ribosomal RNA
Source: RNAcentral
GUCGAGCGGACAGAAGGGAGCUUGCUCCCGGAUGUUAGCGGCGGACGGGUGAGUAACACGUGGGUAACCUGCCUGUAAGACUGGGAUAACUCCGGGAAACCGGAGCUAAUACCGGAUAGUUCCUUGAACCGCAUGGUUCAAGGAUGAAAGACGGUUUCGGCUGUCACUUACAGAUGGACCCGCGGCGCAUUAGCUAGUUGGUGAGGUAACGGCUCACCAAGGCGACGAUGCGUAGCCGACCUGAGAGGGUGAUCGGCCACACUGGGACUGAGACACGGCCCAGACUCCUACGGGAGGCAGCAGUAGGGAAUCUUCCGCAAUGGACGAAAGUCUGACGGAGCAACGCCGCGUGAGUGAUGAAGGUUUUCGGAUCGUAAAGCUCUGUUGUUAGGGAAGAACAAGUGCAAGAGUAACUGCUUGCACCUUGACGGUACCUAACCAGAAAGCCACGGCUAACUACGUGCCAGCAGCCGCGGUAAUACGUAGGUGGCAAGCGUUGUCCGGAAUUAUUGGGCGUAAAGGGCUCGCAGGCGGUUUCUUAAGUCUGAUGUGAAAGCCCCCGGCUCAACCGGGGAGGGUCAUUGGAAACUGGGAAACUUGAGUGCAGAAGAGGAGAGUGGAAUUCCACGUGUAGCGGUGAAAUGCGUAGAGAUGUGGAGGAACACCAGUGGCGAAGGCGACUCUCUGGUCUG